GUAAAAGCAAUGAAAAGAAGUAGUAUGUAUGAAAAGGUCUUAAAGCGAGCCACAGAUGGUGUAAGGUGGUAGAAACUCCAUACAGAACGUGUCUUGGAGUGGAUAUACGAAGCUUGAGUAUAUCCCGUUCCCCGCGUUAAAGGGUCGAGGGCUUUCCAUUUGGAAAGAAUAAAGGUGGUACCGCGGUCAAUCGUCCUUUUC
RNAcentral lists this non-coding RNA (201 nucleotides) under Bacillota bacterium. RNAcentral describes it as "Firmicutes bacterium T-box sequence". It matches the Rfam family "T-box leader". From Rfam's summary of the family: Uncharged tRNA acts as the effector for transcription antitermination of genes in the T-box leader family. T-boxes are found upstream of many aminoacyl-tRNA synthetase genes and some amino acid biosynthetic genes usually in Gram-positive bacteria. The record is from RNAcentral. Lineage: Bacteria; Bacillati; Bacillota.